RNAcentral lists this ribosomal RNA (1947 nucleotides) under Escherichia coli. RNAcentral describes it as "partial 23S ribosomal RNA". It matches the Rfam family "Bacterial large subunit ribosomal RNA", at positions 165 to 2136 of the family's 2925-position model. The record is from RNAcentral. Lineage: Bacteria; Pseudomonadati; Pseudomonadota; Gammaproteobacteria; Enterobacterales; Enterobacteriaceae.
CAUAGGUUAAUGAGGCGAACCGGGGGAACUGAAACAUCUAAGUACCCCGAGGAAAAGAAAUCAACCGAGAUUCCCCCAGUAGCGGCGAGCGAACGGGGAGCAGCCCAGAGCCUGAAUCAGUAUGUGUGUUAGUGGAAGCGUCUGGAAAGGCGCGCGAUACAGGGUGACAGCCCCGUACACAAAAAUGCACAUGCUGUGAGCUCGAUGAGUAGGGCGGGACACGUGGUAUCCUGUCUGAAUAUGGGGGGACCAUCCUCCAAGGCUAAAUACUCCUGACUGACCGAUAGUGAACCAGUACCGUGAGGGAAAGGCGAAAAGAACCCCGGCGAGGGGAGUGAAAAAGAACCUGAAACCGUGUACGUACAAGCAGUGGGAGCACGCUUAGGCGUGUGACUGCGUACCUUUUGUAUAAUGGGUCAGCGACUUAUAUUCUGUAGCAAGGUUAACCGAAUAGGGGAGCCGAAGGGAAACCGAGUCUUAACUGGGCGUUAAGUUGCAGGGUAUAGACCCGAAACCCGGUGAUCUAGCCAUGGGCAGGUUGAAGGUUGGGUAACACUAACUGGAGGACCGAACCGACUAAUGUUGAAAAAUUAGCGGAUGACUUGUGGCUGGGGGUGAAAGGCCAAUCAAACCGGGAGAUAGCUGGUUCUCCCCGAAAGCUAUUUAGGUAGCGCCUCGUGAAUUCAUCUCCGGGGGUAGAGCACUGUUUCGGCAAGGGGGUCAUCCCGACUUACCAACCCGAUGCAAACUGCGAAUACCGGAGAAUGUUAUCACGGGAGACACACGGCGGGUGCUAACGUCCGUCGUGAAGAGGGAAACAACCCAGACCGCCAGCUAAGGUCCCAAAGUCAUGGUUAAGUGGGAAACGAUGUGGGAAGGCCCAGACAGCCAGGAUGUUGGCUUAGAAGCAGCCAUCAUUUAAAGAAAGCGUAAUAGCUCACUGGUCGAGUCGGCCUGCGCGGAAGAUGUAACGGGGCUAAACCAUGCACCGAAGCUGCGGCAGCGACGCUGAUGCGUUGUUGGGUAGGGGAGCGUUCUGUAAGCCUGCGAAGGUGUGCUGUGAGGCAUGCUGGAGGUAUCAGAAGUGCGAAUGCUGACAUAAGUAACGAUAAAGCGGGUGAAAAGCCCGCUCGCCGGAAGACCAAGGGUUCCUGUCCAACGUUAAUCGGGGCAGGGUGAGUCGACCCCUAAGGCGAGGCCGAAAGGCGUAGUCGAUGGGAAACAGGUUAAUAUUCCUGUACUUGGUGUUACUGCGAAGGGGGGACGGAGAAGGCUAUGUUGGCCGGGCGACGGUUGUCCCGGUUUAAGCGUGUAGGCUGGUUUUCCAGGCAAAUCCGGAAAAUCAAGGCUGAGGCGUGAUGACGAGGCACUACGGUGCUGAAGCAACAAAUGCCCUGCUUCCAGGAAAAGCCUCUAAGCAUCAGGUAACAUCAAAUCGUACCCCAAACCGACACAGGUGGUCAGGUAGAGAAUACCAAGGCGCUUGAGAGAACUCGGGUGAAGGAACUAGGCAAAAUGGUGCCGUAACUUCGGGAGAAGGCACGCUGAUAUGUAGGUGAAGUCCCUCGCGGAUGGAGCUGAAAUCAGUCGAAGAUACCAGCUGGCUGCAACUGUUUAUUAAAAACACAGCACUGUGCAAACACGAAAGUGGACGUAUACGGUGUGACGCCUGCCCGGUGCCGGAAGGUUAAUUGAUGGGGUUAGCGCAAGCGAAGCUCUUGAUCGAAGCCCCGGUAAACGGCGGCCGUAACUAUAACGGUCCUAAGGUAGCGAAAUUCCUUGUCGGGUAAGUUCCGACCUGCACGAAUGGCGUAAUGAUGGCCAGGCUGUCUCCACCCGAGACUCAGUGAAAUUGAACUCGCUGUGAAGAUGCAGUGUACCCGCGGCAAGACGGAAAGACCCCGUGAACCUUUACUAUAGCUUGACACUGAACAUUGAGCCUUGAUG